Long non-coding RNA from Aquila chrysaetos chrysaetos, 432 nucleotides. RefSeq lists it as uncharacterized. The record is from RefSeq and is a predicted model, not a curated record. The transcript is spliced from 3 exons. Lineage: Eukaryota; Metazoa; Chordata; Aves; Accipitriformes; Accipitridae.
CGUGGACACUGUGCCCAUGGGGUCCCCAGGACCUUCCAAAGUCCUUCUCAGCAGCUCUGUUUUCAGAGGUGUGGGCAGCAGAUGGCCACAAGUGAAGGAGAGACCGGAGCUGUGGGUGGUCAGUGCUCACUCUGAACAUCUUCUGCUUUCCUGGCUGCUCACGCAGAAGUCAAUGAAUUUUAAGUGUGUGGAUUGACGGCCAAAAGCCAUGGUGUCUAUCUCAGCAAUGGAGAAGCUACGUGCUUGGAGAGAGAGCUCAUUUAGUUGGUUGCCCAUGCUCAUCGUCUUGGCCUCCUGCAGCACCCAGAGAUUUCUACUGCGCGUACAUCAACUGAUUUAGCUAGAAGACAUCUUUUAGAGAACCUUGACCUGCAAAUUAGGGGGGAUUUAACUGGAAGGAUGAAGAGACCAAAACCCCCAACAGUCUUCAGA